CUCCCUUUGGAACCCCUCCCUUUAAUAUAGUUCAAUGUCAAAACAAAGACAAAAGUGGUCCAUCCAAUGGAUCAACCCCAGUUUGUGUAAAUGUGUAAA
Molecule: long non-coding RNA, 99 nt
Organism: Melanotaenia boesemani (Boeseman's rainbowfish)
Lineage: Eukaryota; Metazoa; Chordata; Actinopteri; Atheriniformes; Melanotaeniidae
Exons: 4
Source: RefSeq, a predicted model, not a curated record